UCUUUUAAAACUUGUGAUUACUAUUGGAUAUGAUUGUGUCUGUAGAAAGACUUCCCAGCCUUCUUUAGAACUUAGGAGGUGCCUCUGUUCUCAGCAUAGGCAAUAUUAAUCUCAGCUCACAUUGUCUCUGGAUGGGAUUUCUGUUUGAGAAACAAGAACUAGAAUGGACAAGGUAGGUAUAUGGAACAUUUUAAAACACUGAAUAGAAAAUAUGUAAGAUACAUUAUCCUUAAAGCAACUCAAAGGGCUUUUACAGCAUAAUCUCAGUUCUUGUCAUACCU
This 281-nucleotide long non-coding RNA is filed under the name Homo sapiens (human). RNAcentral's name for it is "HSALNT0109101". Lineage: Eukaryota; Metazoa; Chordata; Mammalia; Primates; Hominidae. The record is from RNAcentral.